GACAUCUUGUUGGAGGAUUAACAAGAAUUGAGAUUAGAUGUCCUUUUAUUGCUUAUAGGUUUCAAGGUGGUGCUUUUCUUUUUCAUUUUUCACAGAUUCUGCUUUUCCUUUACCCCUUGAGAGAUUCUACUUUUCCUCUUUCCCCUAGUGUGGUUGCUCUGAUGUUGUUACAGAUGAAUUGUUCGGGUUUAUUUUUUCCUUGCAUGGG
Molecule: unclassified non-coding RNA, 208 nt
Filed under: Hevea brasiliensis (rubber tree)
Lineage: Eukaryota; Viridiplantae; Streptophyta; Magnoliopsida; Malpighiales; Euphorbiaceae
Source: RNAcentral